Molecule: ribosomal RNA, 468 nt
Filed under: uncultured bacterium
Lineage: Bacteria
Description: partial 16S ribosomal RNA
Rfam family: Bacterial small subunit ribosomal RNA
Source: RNAcentral
GACGAACGCUAGCUACGGGCUUAACACAUGCAAGUCGAAGGGAAAGACCCUUCUUUUCUGGCGUGCUCGGGUGGCGAACGGGUGAGUGACACGUUAAUAACCUGCCCUCCACUUUGGGAUAACUUCAGGAAACUGGGGCUAAUACCGGAUUGGCGCUUCUGCUUCAUUGUGGGGGUUGGAAAGUUUGGGAGGUUGGGGAUGGACUUGCGGCGUAUCAGUCUGUUGGUGGGGUAGGGGCUUACCAAGGCUUUCACGGGUAGCCGGCCUGAGAGGGUAACCGGGCAAAUUGGGAAUGACAUACGGGCCGGAGUAGUACGGGAGACAGCAGUAGGGAAUAUUGCCUGAUGGGCGGAAGCCGGGUGCAGGAACGCCGCGUGAGGGAUGGCAGCCUUCGGGUGGAAGGCCGCAUAGGCAAGUGACGAAGCGUGAGUGACGGUAAUGUAUGAAGAAGCACCGGCUAAUUACGUG